UGGGGAAUAUUGCACAAUGGGCGCAAGCCUGAUGCAGCCAUGCCGCGUGUGUGAAGAAGGCCUUCGGGUUGUAAAGCACUUUCAGCGGGGAGGAAGGCGAUAAGGUUAAUAACCUUGUCGAUUGACGUUACCCGCAGAAGAAGCACCGGCUAACUCCGUGCCAGCAGCCGCGGUAAUACGGAGGGUGCAAGCGUUAAUCGGAAUUACUGGGCGUAAAGCGCACGCAGGCGGUCUGUCAAGUCGGAUGUGAAAUCCCCGGGCUCAACCUGGGAACUGCAUUCGAAACUGGCAGGCUAGAGUCUUGUAAAGGGGGGUAGAAUUCCAGGUGUAGCGGUGAAAUGCGUAGAGAUCUGGAGGAAUACCGGUGGCGAAGGCGGCCCCCUGGACAAAGACUGACGCUCAGGUGCGAAAGCGUGGGGAGCAAACAGG
RNAcentral lists this ribosomal RNA (429 nucleotides) under Chloroflexota bacterium. RNAcentral's name for it is "Chloroflexi bacterium partial 16S ribosomal RNA". It matches the Rfam family "Bacterial small subunit ribosomal RNA", at positions 355 to 776 of the family's 1533-position model. The record is from RNAcentral. Lineage: Bacteria; Bacillati; Chloroflexota.